AUACGUAGGGGACAAGCGUUAUCCGGAUUUACUGGGUGUAAAGGGAGCGCAGACGGCUUGGCAAGUCUGAUGUGAAAGGCGGGGGCUUAACCCCCGGACUGCAUUGGAAACUGUUAAGCUGGAGUGCCGGAGAGGUAAGCGGAAUUCCUAGUGUAGCGGUGAAAUGCGUAGAUAUUAGGAGGAACACCAGUGGCGAAGGCGGCUUACUGGACGGUAACUGACGUUGAGGCUCGAAAGCGUGGGGAGCAAACAGGAUUAGAUACCCUGGUAGUCCACGCGGUAAACGAUGAAUACUAGGUGUUGGUGACCACAGGUCAUCGGUGCCGCAGCAAACGCAAUAAGUAUUCCACCUGGGGAGUACGUUCGCAAGAAUGAAACUCAAAGGAAUUGACGGGG
RNAcentral lists this ribosomal RNA (396 nucleotides) under uncultured bacterium. RNAcentral's name for it is "partial 16S ribosomal RNA". It matches the Rfam family "Bacterial small subunit ribosomal RNA", at positions 523 to 918 of the family's 1533-position model. The record is from RNAcentral.